This 500-nucleotide ribosomal RNA is filed under the name uncultured Glomus. Its description in RNAcentral is "SSU rRNA". It matches the Rfam family "Eukaryotic small subunit ribosomal RNA", at positions 591 to 1092 of the family's 1831-position model. The record is from RNAcentral. Lineage: Eukaryota; Fungi; Glomeromycota; Glomeromycetes; Glomerales; Glomeraceae.
CCAAUAGCGUAUAUUAAAGUUGUUGCAGUUAAAAAGCUCGUAGUUGAAUUUCGGGGUUAGUAGGUUGGUCAUGCCUCUGGUAUGUACUGGUCUCACUGAUUCCUCCUUCCUGAUGAGCCGUAAUGCCAUUAAUUUGGUGUUGCGGGGAAUUUGGACUGUUACUUUGAAAAAAUUAGAGUGUUUAAAGCAAGCUAACGCUUGAAUACAUUAGCAUGGAAUAAUGAAAUAGGACGUUCGAUCCUAUUUUGUUGGUUUCUAGGAUUGACGUAAUGAUUAAUAGGGGUAGUUGGGGGCAUUAGUAUUCAAUUGUCAGAGGUGAAAUUCUUGGAUGUAUUGAAGACGAACUACUGCGAAAGCAUUUGCCAAGGAUGUUUUCAUUAAUCAAGAACGAAAGUUAGGGGAUCGAAGACGAUCAGAUACCGUCGUAGUCUUAACCAUAAACUAUGCCGACUAGGGAUCGGAUGAUGUUAAUUUUUUAAUGACUCAUUCGGCGCCUUACG